AAAGAAAAAACAAACAAAAA
RNAcentral lists this small RNA (20 nucleotides) under Arabidopsis thaliana (thale cress). RNAcentral describes it as "ATSL066780". The record is from RNAcentral. Lineage: Eukaryota; Viridiplantae; Streptophyta; Magnoliopsida; Brassicales; Brassicaceae.